CUAGCUAUUUUUCAAUCUCAGCCACGAUGUUGAAACUCACCACAUCCACAGUACUCCUUGUCUUUCUGGCCUUUAAAUUGGCAUCAUCUUUAAAGUGGUGUCAUCUGUUAAGAAUUCCGGGAAGUGGUGUGGUUCCACAUUCCCUCCGUAGUGGGGUGGUUCCACAUUCCCUCCGUAGUCGCACUCCAAUGUUGACAGCGAUGCUCCUGCGAGUAAACCUUGAAACUCCAAACAAGGGACUAAAGGCUGUCCCCAAGCCCUCUCAACCAGUUUCGUCAGAGCUUCGUUCAACAUUGAGAGCAGGUCCCAGUUCCCCAUCCAGUGAGGUGUUCACAAUUCCUUGGCACAAACUACCUUCUAACCUCACUCUUGCAAUGGAAGAAAAUAACUGAUGAUCUACUGAGCAAAGAGACCAGGCCCGGAAGAGGAAGGCUGCAGAAAGUUUCUAAAUCGUAGAGAUACAGUAUAUCCAAGACAAGUGGAAGAAUGUCAUCGGGACGGGGUACGGUUCACUCCUUGUACAGAUCGAAAACAGAUUUGUAAACUCCUCGAGGCUGACCUCAGCACCAACAAAGAGGCAAGCAGGGGGUGAAGAUGUGGGUGAAGAUGGUGGGAGAAGGAAAUCAAAAUGUUCAGAUCGUUAUGGAUGCUUUGGGUGGCGGCCUGACUCUCAGGGUAGAACAGAAGAACUGAAUGAAACGAAAACGGAGCUGAAGAAUGCGUACGAAAACAGCCUCCUUCCUGAGUCCUGUGUUAAAAAAGUAUUGCACUAUUGUGAUAAAAAAACCUAUUGCUUUCCAGCUCAUAACAAUUAAAGGCUGCGGAAAGUUGCUAAAGUGAUCGUAGAGAUAUA
Long non-coding RNA from Coregonus clupeaformis (lake whitefish), 853 nucleotides. RefSeq lists it as uncharacterized. NCBI's taxonomy places the organism in Eukaryota, Metazoa, Chordata, Actinopteri, Salmoniformes, Salmonidae. The transcript is spliced from 3 exons. The record is from RefSeq and is a predicted model, not a curated record.